Molecule: ribosomal RNA, 90 nt
Filed under: Isochrysis galbana
Lineage: Eukaryota; Haptophyta; Isochrysidales; Isochrysidaceae
Source: RNAcentral
GCGUAGUAGAUCCACAUCGAUCCAUUUCGAACUCGAUAGUGAAAGAUUAUAGCGGUGACGAUACUUAGAGGGGGGCCUCUUGGGAAAAUA